Molecule: ribosomal RNA, 468 nt
Filed under: uncultured bacterium
Lineage: Bacteria
Description: partial 16S ribosomal RNA
Rfam family: Bacterial small subunit ribosomal RNA
Source: RNAcentral
GAUGAACGCUGGCGGCGUGCUUAACACAUGCAAGUCGAACGGAAAGGCCGAAGCUUGCUUCGGUACUCGAGUGGCGAACGGGUGAGUAACACGUGGGUGAUCUGCCCUGUACUUCGGGAUAAGCUUGGGAAACUGGGUCUAAUACCGGAUAUGACGAUCUCUUGGAUGGGGUUGUGGAAAGCUUUUGCGGUAUGGGAUGAGCUCGCGGCCUAUCAGCUUGUUGGUGGGGUAAUGGCCUACCAAGGCGUCGACGGGUAGCCGGCCUGAGAGGGUGUACGGCCACAAUUGGACCUAGGUAACGGCCAGGCUUCCACGGGGGGGAGGAGGUGGGGAUAUUUGAACAAGGGCGCAAGCCUGAUGCAGCGACGCCGCGUGGGGGAUGACGGCCUUCGGGUUGUAAACUCCUUUCGCAAUCGACGAAGCCUUUUGGUGACGGUAGGUUGAGAAGAAGCACCGGCUAACUACGUG